RNAcentral lists this ribosomal RNA (497 nucleotides) under uncultured bacterium. RNAcentral's name for it is "partial 16S ribosomal RNA". It matches the Rfam family "Bacterial small subunit ribosomal RNA", at positions 28 to 507 of the family's 1533-position model. The record is from RNAcentral.
GAUGAACGCUGGCGGCGUGCCUAAUACAUGCAAGUCGAGCGAACAGAUGAGGAGCUUGCUCCUCUGACGUUAGCGGCGGACGGGUGAGUAACACGUGGAUAACCUACCUAUAAGACUGGGAUAACUUCGGGAAACCGGAGCUAAUACCGGAUAAUAUAUUGAACCGCAUGGUUCAAUAGUGAAAGACGGUUUUGCUGUCACUUAUAGAUGGAUCCGCGCCGCAUUAGCUAGUUGGUAAGGUAACGGCUUACCAAGGCAACGAUGCGUAGCCGACCUGAGAGGGGGAUCGGCCACACUGGAACUGAGACACGGUCCAGACUCCUACGGGAGGCAGCAGUAGGGAAUCUUCCGCAAUGGGCGAAAGCCUGACGGAGCAACGACGCGUGAGUGAUGAAGGUCUUCGGAUCGUAAAACUCUGUUAUUAGGGAAGAACAAAUGUGUAAGUAACUAUGCACGUCUUGACGGUACCUAAUCAGAAAGCCACGGCUAACUACGUG